RNAcentral lists this ribosomal RNA (190 nucleotides) under Escherichia coli. Its description in RNAcentral is "partial 23S ribosomal RNA". It matches the Rfam family "Bacterial large subunit ribosomal RNA", at positions 2758 to 2925 of the family's 2925-position model. The record is from RNAcentral. Lineage: Bacteria; Pseudomonadati; Pseudomonadota; Gammaproteobacteria; Enterobacterales; Enterobacteriaceae.
GAAGAGAUAAGUGCUGAAAGCAUCUAAGCACGAAACUUGCCCCGAGAUGAGUUCUCCCUGACCCUUUAAGGGUCCUGAAGGAACGUUGAAGACGACGACGUUGAUAGGCCGGGUGUGUAAGCGCAGCGAUGCGUUGAGCUAACCGGUACUAAUGAACCGUGAGGCUUAACCUUACAACGCCGAAGCUGUU